AUGGAUUUAGUUCACCUUAUAUCAUUAUCAGCUGUAAUAUUUUGUGUCCUAAGAUGUUUACAGUCUGGUAUUGUGCUGUGCUAUGAAACUUGUAUGAGACUUUUUUCUUCUUCUGCUACUAUGUAUGACUAUAUGGAAAGUGGCUCAAUUAUGCUUUUGUUCUGGACUUAUGGAAAGUGGCAUAACUACUUCCUCACCCCCCAGAUGUAUGCACAUAGCUCUGUUUGUUGCAAGUUGAUAUUUCUAAUCCAUUUUAUAUCUCAUGAAUCGAGAAUGGAAUAUUUUAAACUGGAAUGUUAG
Molecule: ribosomal RNA, 300 nt
Filed under: Triticum aestivum (bread wheat)
Lineage: Eukaryota; Viridiplantae; Streptophyta; Magnoliopsida; Poales; Poaceae
Description: partial small subunit ribosomal RNA
Source: RNAcentral